AGAACGAACGCUGGCGGCAUGCCUAAUACAUGCAAGUCGAACGAACUCUUCGGAGUUAGUGGCGCACGGGUGCGUAACGCGUGGGAAUCUGCCCCUUGGUUCGGAAUAACAGUUGGAAACGACUGCUAAUACCGGAUGAUGACGAAAGUCCAAAGAUUUAUCGCCAAGGGAUGAGCCCGCGUAGGAUUAGCUAGUUGGUGAGGUAAAGGCUCACCAAGGCAACGAUCCUUAGCUGGUCUGAGAGGAUGAUCAGCCACACUGGGACUGAGACACGCCAGACUCGACGGAGGCAGCAGUAGGGAAUAUGGACAAGUGGGACGAAAGCCUGAUCCAGCAAUCGGCCGCGUAGAGUGAUGAAGGUCCGUUAAGGGUUAGUAAAGCUUAC
RNAcentral lists this ribosomal RNA (385 nucleotides) under uncultured soil bacterium. RNAcentral describes it as "bacterial SSU rRNA". It matches the Rfam family "Bacterial small subunit ribosomal RNA", at positions 26 to 435 of the family's 1533-position model. The record is from RNAcentral.